RNAcentral lists this ribosomal RNA (393 nucleotides) under uncultured bacterium. RNAcentral describes it as "partial 16S ribosomal RNA". It matches the Rfam family "Bacterial small subunit ribosomal RNA", at positions 523 to 918 of the family's 1533-position model. The record is from RNAcentral.
AUACGGAGGAUCCGAGCGUUAUCCGGAUUUAUUGGGUUUAAAGGGAGCGUAGGUGGACAGUUAAGUCAGUUGUGAAAGUUUGCGGCUCAACCGUAAAAUUGCAGUUGAUACUGGCUGUCUUGAGUACAGUAGAGGUGGGCGGCAUUCGUGGUGUAGCGGUGAAAUGCUUAGAUAUCACGAAGAACUCCGAUUGCGAAGGCAGCUCACUGGACUGCAACUGACACUGAUGCUCGAAAGUGUGGGUAUCAAACAGGAUUAGAUACCCUGGUAGUCCACACAGUAAACGAUGAAUACUCGCUGUUUGCGAUAUACAGUAAGCGGCCAAGCGAAAGCAUUAAGUAUUCCACCUGGGGAGUACGCCGGCAACGGUGAAACUUAAAGGAAUUGACUGGG